GUCUUUUUAGAAUAUAAAUAAAGUCUAACCUGCCCAUUGAAAUAAUUUUAAAGGCUGCGGUAUUUUGACCGUACAAAGGUAGCAUAAUCAUUAGUUUUUUAAUUGAAAACUUGUAUGAAUGGUUGAAUGAGAAAUUAACUUUUUUAAAUAUAUAUAUUAUAAAACUUUACUUUUUAGUAAAAAGGCUAAGAUUAUAUUAUAAGACGAGAAGACCCUAUAGAGUUUAAUAAAUAAUUAUAUUUAAUGUUAUAAAGGUUUAUUUAUUAAUAUUAUAAAUGAAUUUAUUUUGUUGGGGUGAUAAUAAAAUUUAAAUAACUUUUAUUUACAUAUUUUUACAUUUAUAAAUGAAUAUUUGAUCCAUAAUUUAUGAUUAAAAAUUUAAAUUACCUUAGGGAUAACAGCGUAAUUUUUUUUUGAGUUCUUAUU
This 426-nucleotide ribosomal RNA is filed under the name Bradysia giraudii. Its description in RNAcentral is "partial small subunit ribosomal RNA". The record is from RNAcentral. Lineage: Eukaryota; Metazoa; Arthropoda; Insecta; Diptera; Sciaridae.